UACGGGAGGCAGCAGUGGGGAAUAUUGGGCAAUGGGCGAAAGCCUGACCCAGCAACGCCGCGUGAAGGAAGAAGGUCUUCGGAUUGUAAACUUCUUUUAUGAGGGACGAAGGACGUGACGGUACCUCAUGAAUAAGUCACGGCUAACUACGUGCCAGCAGCCGCGGUAAU
This 170-nucleotide ribosomal RNA is filed under the name uncultured rumen bacterium. RNAcentral's name for it is "partial 16S ribosomal RNA". It matches the Rfam family "Bacterial small subunit ribosomal RNA", at positions 340 to 524 of the family's 1533-position model. The record is from RNAcentral.